GCUUUUGUACACACCGCCCGUCGCUACUACCGAUUGAAUGAUUUAGUGAGGUCUUCGGACUGGUACGCGGCAUCGACUCUGUCGUUGCCGAUGCUACCGGAAAGAUGACCAAACUUGAUCAUUUAUAGGAAGUAAAAGUCGUAACAAGGUUUCCGUAGGUGAACCUGCGGAAGGAUCAUUA
This 181-nucleotide ribosomal RNA is filed under the name Pezotettix giornae. RNAcentral describes it as "partial 18S ribosomal RNA". It matches the Rfam family "Eukaryotic small subunit ribosomal RNA", at positions 1656 to 1831 of the family's 1831-position model. Lineage: Eukaryota; Metazoa; Arthropoda; Insecta; Orthoptera; Acrididae. The record is from RNAcentral.